Molecule: ribosomal RNA, 396 nt
Filed under: Proboscidoplocia sp. BYU IGCEP162
Lineage: Eukaryota; Metazoa; Arthropoda; Insecta; Ephemeroptera; Euthyplociidae
Description: partial 12S ribosomal RNA
Rfam family: Microsporidia small subunit ribosomal RNA (bases 49-396)
Source: RNAcentral
AAACUACGAUUAGAUACCCUAUUAUUCUAAGAGUUAUAACGUAAGGCUGAGUAGUAAUAGUUAUGUUCUUGAAACUCAAAAAAUUUGGCGGUGUUUUAGUCUUAUCAGAGGAAUUUGCCCCGUAAUCGAUAGCCCUCGGUAACUUUACUUAGUUUUAUAUAGUUUGUAUACCGCCGUUGGCAGGAUAUAUUAGGAGAUUAUAUUCAGUAUUCAUAGAAGAAAGAUGACAGGUCAAGGUGCAGCUAAUAAUUAAGAGGAGGUGAAUUACAAUAUAAUUAUAUAAUACGAAUUUAAUGGUGAAACUGUUAAUGAAGGUGGAUUUGGUUGUAAUGAUAUUUAUUUAAGUNUCAUGAUAUAAGCUCUAAAAUAUGCACACAUCGCCCGUCGCUCUUAAAA